AUUGAACGCUGGCGGCAUGCCUAACACAUGCAAGUCGAACGGCAGCGCGGGGGCAACCCUGGCGGCGAGUGGCGGACGGGUGAGGAAUGCAUAGGAAUCUGCCCGGUUGUGGGGGAUAACGUAGGGAAACUUACGCUAAUACCGCAUACGACCUUCGGGUGAAAGUGGGGGACCUUCGGGCCUCACGCGAUCGGAUGAGCCUAUGCCCGAUUAGCUAGUUGGCGGGGUAAGCGCCCACCAAGGCGACGAUCGGUAGCUGGUCUGAGAGGAUGAUCAGCCACACUGGGACUGAGACACGGCCCAGACUCCUACGGGAGGCAGCAGUGGGGAAUAUUGGACAGUGGGCGCAAGCCUGAUCCAGCAAUGCCGCGUGUGUGAAGAAGGCCUUCGGGUUGUAAAGCACUUUUGUUCGGGAAGAAAUCCGUGUGGUUAAUACCCGUACGGGAUGACGGUACCGAAAGAAUAAGCACCGGCUAACUUCGUG
This 484-nucleotide ribosomal RNA is filed under the name uncultured bacterium. RNAcentral describes it as "partial 16S ribosomal RNA". It matches the Rfam family "Bacterial small subunit ribosomal RNA", at positions 29 to 507 of the family's 1533-position model. The record is from RNAcentral.